Nanorana parkeri is the source of this 334-nucleotide long non-coding RNA. RefSeq lists it as uncharacterized. The record is from RefSeq and is a predicted model, not a curated record. The transcript is spliced from 3 exons. NCBI's taxonomy places the organism in Eukaryota, Metazoa, Chordata, Amphibia, Anura, Dicroglossidae.
UGUUCCCCAAAUCCUCCAUUCUCCUGGAUCAAAGCACUGCUGAAGUUUGGACUGCACUGCGCACAAUGACAACGUUUGCUUUGGUGCGAUGGGAAGGAGGUGACGAUGCACAUACAUACAGUGUGAUAUAAAUGCGACUGGAUCAGGGGCUAUAAAGAAAAUUAAGUCAUCACUGGGCAGGAAACAUAUAUGAUGGAAUGGCGACAAGGGAAAUGCCCUCCAGGAGGUUGGCCUUGCCAUGAAGCAACUCUACUGGAUGUUGAUGCUGCAACUUUUGAAAAGUUUCCCGGGACUUCAAAAGGUGUCAUAAGCGAUGCUGUUAACAGGCAAAUUG